RNAcentral lists this long non-coding RNA (664 nucleotides) under Rosa chinensis. Its description in RNAcentral is "sRNA RchiOBHm_Chr2g0159161". The record is from RNAcentral. Lineage: Eukaryota; Viridiplantae; Streptophyta; Magnoliopsida; Rosales; Rosaceae.
AUGGUUGUGCAGGAUUUGGAGAUUAAAUUUCUUGUUUACUUGCAGCUAUCUCUAGUGGCUGUUUUUGCUGAAAUAUAAAGUGGGUAUUAGCAUUUGGAUUGGGUUUUCCGUAUAUAGCAGAUGAUUGGCUUUAUUAGCUACUGAAAUCUAAGGCUUGAGACACAGGAAAUACAAGUUGCAUCCCCUCCAAACCUCAUUAAUUAAAUCCACAAACUGCUAGUUUAUCAAUAUUUGGGCCGCAUAUAAGGAAAUUGAAAGAACUUUUUGUUUCUAGGGAGCGCAAAUGUUUCCAAAGAUUGAUUGGAAUACUAUUGCAGUUGAGCUUAUUGAUAUGUUGGGUAUUUGAAAACAGAGAGAUAAAGUCAUUUAUAUGAGAUUUGGAAGUGGCCUUGCAUUAUGACUCAGAGUCAUACCAAGGCUAUAAGAGAGAAUAGAUGAUGUGGUGAUCACUCCCAAGGGUUUGAGAAAAGGGUGGUUUCACAGGAUGCUCUACCUAUUUUCAAUUUGUCUGUGCUUACAAGGAUAUUGAAAGCUUGGAUGAAGUGAAGAAGAGGUUCAAGGAAGAGUAGCUGUUCAGCCUUUAGUAAUAUUGUUCUCAAUGUUGUUCUUGUGUUUUAAUGUAUGAAUGAUUGAGAAAUACUAUGUUUAUGGUACAUUUGAUGCU